RNAcentral lists this unclassified non-coding RNA (1270 nucleotides) under Leishmania donovani. Its description in RNAcentral is "gene:unknown". The record is from RNAcentral. Lineage: Eukaryota; Euglenozoa; Kinetoplastea; Trypanosomatida; Trypanosomatidae.
CGGGGCGGUGCUGGCUCAUUCUUCACGCCUUUAGGAUUCUGUCUCUUCGCGCUUCUCUUCGUUUCUGGCGCGCCAACAGCGGAUCCGUCCAGCCUAUACACCGCACCUGGCGAGGAGGUACAGGCCGGCGAUGGGCUUCUUUCUUUUCGUCUGUCCUCCCGUUUUUUUUUUGUUUCGCUUAGCUUUCAGUGGUACGGGCCUUCGUGGAUUUGCACAUGGGCGCAGAAAACGCACACAUCGGACGGGCGCGUGCAUACAGCGACAGAUACUGGAGUAUGCAUUAAUGCAUGUUUCCUGGCGACUGUCUGCUGGCAUCCCGUCGUCACCCUCGUUCGAUGUACGAUGUAGCUGUGUAUCGUGGAACCGUUUCUCCUGUUGUGGACGUUUUCACAGCCUACCUGCUCUUUUUUGGGUCCGUCCGCAUUCCGCGGCCCUGUGCGUGUGUGUGCGUGUGUGCCCCGGUGGUGCGCGUGGCUCAUUCACGCUCAGCCUCGAUCGCGUGUGGGAGCUUGUUGUUUCUGUGUUGCGUCUCAUCUCAAUAUCACAUCCAAGACAACCAGGUCGUGAGAAGAGACGCAACAGGUGCAGUGGCCUGUGUGCCCCGUCUCUCUGCUCGAUCUUCCAUCAUGAGUGAGGGCACACAUUCGUAAUGUUGGAGGAAUCGGUCCAUUGCGCUCUGGAGUGUUGUGAGCGUGCCGUCGCCCAUAUUUGUGCACGUGUGCCGUAACCUCGGCGUCUGCGUCUCUUGUUCUGUUCACCGAAGCUGGGGACAGAUGAGGAGGGAGAGGAGGCGGACGCGUGGAUUUUCGUAGGGCACAUCUGGGGGGGGGCGCACAUAACAUUGUUGUUGUUGCUUCGGGUGUGCGGCUUCUCCUUCAGCCUUUUUCUUUUUAUUUUACCUUGUAAAGUUUUCUUUAUACGCGAUGCUCUUUCGGGGUUCCGGAUGAACCACCGCCGGAGCGACGCUCAAGCACGCACACCCGCACACGCUCACAUGCGUUGGAGGCACGGAGGAGAAAGCUGAAGCCGGGGAAACUUCGGUGAGAAGCGCAACCGCGUUCGAUGGACCUUCUCAUUGUGUGAUGUUUUGCUCACGUGCUGAACACGUUACUUGUCGGUCUCUCCUGGGUGUGCGCUUGUGUGACCGGUCGCCUUCAUAUUACUCGUUAGCUAAGUCGCAUAUACACCGUGUGUAGAGCUUUCGCUGAUUCCUUUUCUUUUAUUCGGGGGUGGGGGCCAUUCAGAUUUUGAACAGCGGAAAGAAAAAUAA